This is a long non-coding RNA of Mytilus californianus (California mussel), 3541 nucleotides long. RefSeq lists it as uncharacterized. Lineage: Eukaryota; Metazoa; Mollusca; Bivalvia; Mytilida; Mytilidae. The record is from RefSeq and is a predicted model, not a curated record. The transcript has 2 exons.
CGGUCGUAUAUUGGUAUGAUGUUGGCGUCGUCGUCUGAAGACACAUUGGUUUUCGCACAAUAACUUUAGUUUAAGUGAAUGGAUCUCUAUGAAAUUUUACCAUAAGGUUCAAUACCACAAAAGGAAGGUUGGGAUUGAUUUUGGGGGUUAUGGUAAUAACAGUAAAGGAAUUAGGGGCCAAAAAGGGGCCAAAAAUAAGCAUUUUUGUAACUUCCAGACAUAACUUGUGUGUUAGUGUAUGGAUCUCUCUGACAUUGUACCACAAGGUUCCAUAUCACUAAAGGAAUGCUGGGAUUGAUUUUGGGGGUAAUUGCCUCCAAAUUUUAGGAAUUAGGGGCCAAAAAAGGGGCAAAAAACAAGCAUUUUUCUAGUUUCAUGACAAUAACUUGUGUGUAAGUGUAUGGAUCUUUCUGAAAUUGUACUACAAGGUUCCAUAUCACAAAGGGAAAGCUGGGUUUGAGUUUGGGGGUAAUUGCCCUAAACGUUUAGGAAUUUGGGGCCAAAAAGGGGCCAAAAAACACAUUUUUUUCUAGUUUCCAGACAAUAACUUGUGUUCAAGUGUAUGGAUCUCUCUGAAAUUGUACUGCAAGGUACCAUACCACAAAGGGAAGGCUGGGAUUGAGUUUGGGGGUGAUGAAUCAUAAUGGGGGUUCAAAAAAUUUUGGGGGGGAUUUAUUUUUUUUUCCUUUUUUUCUUUUUUUCCUUUUUUGUUUCUUUUAAAAUUUUCCAUUUUAAGUUGGUUAUUUCUGAUUUAUAUUUAAAAUCAAAUAAUAAUGAUAUGGUAGGAGAUACACACCAAACAGGAUGUGUAAAUUAUUAUAUAAUAAGUAUUGUGCAAUAGCAAGAAAUUUUCAAUUGCACAGUAUUGCACAAUAGCAAGAAAUCUUCAAUUGCACAGUAUUGCGCAAUAGCAAGAAAUCUUCAAUUGCACAGUAUUGCGCAAUAGCAAGAAAUAUCCAAUAGCACAAUAUUGCGCAAUAGCAAGAAAUUGUCAAUUGUACAGUAUUGCGCAAUAGCAAGAAAUAUUUAAUAACACAGGAUUGUGCAAAAGAAGAUACUUCCUAUAAAUUGCUUAUUUCUUGACCAAUUUCAAUGGGGUUUUAUUCUUGAUUUCAUGGGGUUCUUUAAUAUGCUGAAUCUAACCGUGUAUUUAGUUUUUGGAUUUUGGGCCCCGUUUUUAAAUUGGUCCACAUUGAGGUCCAAAGGGUCCAAAAUUAAACUUUGUUUGAUUUCAUCAAAAAUUGAAUUAUUGGGGUUCUUUGAUAUGCCAUAUCUAACUGUGUAUUUAGAUUCUUAAAUUUUGGUUCCGUUUUCAAAUUGGUCUACAUUAAGGUCCAAAGGGUCCAAAAUUAAACUUAGUUUGAUUUUAACAAAAAUUGAAUUCUUAGGGUUCUUUGAUAUGCUGAAUCUAAACAUGUAUUUAGAUUUUUGAUUAUGGGCCCAGUUUUCAAGUUGGUCCAAGUCGGGGUCCAAAAUUAAACUUUGUUUGAUUUCAACAAAAAUUGAAUAUAUGGGGUUCUUUGAUAUGCUGAAUCUAACCAUGUAUUUAGAUUUUUGAUUUUUGGGCCCCGUUAUCAACUUUGUCCACAUUGAGGUCAAAAGGGUCCAAAAUUAAACUUUGUUUGAUUUCAUCAAAAAUUGAAUUAUUGGGGUUCUUUGAUAUGCCAAAUCUAACCGUGUAUUUAGAUUCUUAAUUUUUGGUUCCGUUUUCAAAUUGGUCUACAUUAAGGUCCAAAGGGUCCAAAAUUAAACUUAGUUUGAUUUUAACAAAAAUUGAAUUCUUAGGGUUCUUUGAUAUGCUGAAUCUAAACAUGUAUUUAGAUUUUUGAUUAUGGGCCCAGUUUUCAAGUUGGUCCAAGUCGGGGUCCAAAAUUAAACUUUGUUUGAUUUCAACAAAAAUUGAAUAUAUGGGGUUCUUUGAUAUGCUGAAUCUAACCAUGUAUUUAGAUUUUUGAUUUUUGGGCCCCGUUAUCAACUUUGUCCACAUUGAGGUCAAAAGGGUCCAAAAUUAAACUUUGUUUGAUUUCAUCAAAAAUUGAAUUCUUGGGGUUCUUUGAUAUGCUGAAUCUAACCAUGUAUUUAGAUUUUGGAUAUUGGACCAUAAUAGGUGAAUGUCCAAUUUAAAAUUUUUAAGUUCUUAGACCACAUUCAAUCUGUGUUAGAAACCUAUGCUGUGUCAAAUAUUUAAUCGCAAUCCAAAUCCAAAGCUGUAUCAAGCUUGAAUGUUGUGUCCAUUCUUCCCCCAACUGUUCAGGGUUCGACCUCUGCGCUCGUAUCAAGCUGCGCCCUGCGGAGCAUUUUAUUUCACAUUGUGAAGGAAAAAAACUGGUAUCUACCCUCUCAAAUGUUUGCUUCAUUAAAUUUAAAUUGAAAGUUGAUUGCGAUGAUUACUCAGUACAGACUGGUCUCAUUUAGAUUUAUGGCUUUAUGAUAAAUCAGCACAGACUGGGUUGUCAGUUUGAAAACUAUUUUAUCCUACAUAUAAAUUUAAUCUUAUUAUGAUUUAGUAAUUACAUGUAACAAUUUAUGGUGUUUGAAUGUGCAAUAUAUGGAGUUUAAAUGUGCAAUAUAUUUAUAAAAGAGUAUUCAUAAAAAGGAAAUAUUAAAAGAUGCUGUUUAAAUUUAUAGGCCACACAAAUAUAAUGUUUAGUUCUAUGGGUUAUAGGUAUACAAAAAGAUGUGAGUGUUUAAAUUUUUUUUUCAAUUUGAAACAGCUUUAAAUUUUUCAGAAUGUUUGAAAUGGGAUUUAUAAACUAAGUGAAUAAGAAAGCAACAUUGACAUGUACUUUCUAUUCAAUAAAAAGUUAUACCAAAUUUCACAUUUUUAACCAAAAUUGAAAUAUGCACUCUUAAUGGUAAAUUUUAACAAUAAUGAACCUGUCUAGAAAUAAUUCAGUUUUCAGUUUAAUAGUUAUCUUUGCAUUUUUGCAAUUGUUCUACAAAAACACUCAGAAAAUCUACUAUUUAACUGUAUAAAAACUCAAUUUUAACAUUGUUAAAUGAUGAUAUCUCCUUUGUCAUAGAUUAAAAAAAACAACAAAAAAACUGCAUACUUAAUAUAGGUGUUGAAAUUUAAAAACUUCAUUAGCUAAAAGUGAUGCAAGCAACUAUACAGGACUUACAUCAAUUUGGUAUGCCUAAAUGCUUUUUUUGGACAAUUCAAAUGUUCAUUAUCUUUUAUUUUUGUUUGAAUUUUAAAAUAGAAAAAUAUAUGUUCUUUCAAUCUUUUUAUAAAAUCAACACAAAGUAUCAUUAGGAGUUUGAGAAGAUCUUCAUAAAGGUCAAGGUUAUGUUAUAUUGUGUAAUCUCGUUGUGAUGUGGAUUCCAAGCUUAUUAAGAACAAUUGAUUUAUAUAGAUGUGUUAAUACUACAUGUUUUCAUGUUUGUAUAACCCAUUCCAUUAUUUAUAUAGAUAUUUGUUAUGUAUUUAUUUAUUUAUUGACAUUCCUCUUUGUUAUAAAGUAUGUAAUUUAAUUUUUUUUUCAUUGUGAGAAAGAAAAAGGUGCAAUAUUUUCAGCAGAUAAAUGCUUCAAAAUGAUAA